AAAAUGAUAAAUACAUAUACAGUAUAUAUUUAUAAUAUAAGACAAUAUAUAUUGAGGAUUUGUGUGAUGUUAAUGCAUAUGCAUUGAUGAAUGAAAUGCUUGACUUAUUCGUUGUAAAAAUUGGAUGAACAUAUUUUCGGAUGGUGGUCGACACACGUGAACAUAUUAAUGUGUAAAUUAACCAAACAUUUUACUUGAAGAAGAUAAAUUAUAGGCAAGUAAAGCAGAAAUCCAAAUUAACAUGCAAAAAGUAGAAGAAAUUCAUUCCAUCAUCUUUCUCCAAAAGUAGCUGGCCAUGGACGCUAAGCAUAUUUCCAAUCAUAUAACAUCUACAACAAGGGGGAAUCAAAACUAUGCAUACUAGCAUAUAUUAAACUCAGAUACUUCUAGGAUGUCUGUGAACACACAUAAAUAGUUAUUAGAAGGUAAGAACAGCGACACGUUUCUAUUUGAGAAAGACAUUGGUAAGAGCUAUCUUUGACUUCAACGAGUUCUCCAACAGUUCUGGGACCUGAAGGAAACAUAGAACAUAAAGCUAAAACUCAACAUAAAUACUUACGCUAUGAAAUUAAGUCCAUUCAUGCUCAUAUGGUUUAACACUUUAUCUACAUCAUGUUGUUAAUUUCAAGUUAUGAUGGCAAAUAACAUUGCGAAAGUUUGAGAACACGUGCCUCAAAUAUCAUCAAGACAUAGCUUAAAGUUUUGAACAAAUGGUUUAGGACGUUAUUUCAUCAAAAUAAUACUUAUAGGAUGUCAUUGAAGACUAAAAGAAAAAAGAGAUAAAAUAGCAGGAGUUUAGCAACAUGCAUGCUAAACAUGUUAAAUAUGGUAUUUAAAAAUGUUCUAAAAUCGCGUGUUGCUAAAAGUUGCUAAAAACUCACCUUUUACAAUGUGCUUCAUGGUGUGUUGUCAAACAAAAUAUCACAACAGUUUUAUGAGUGUGGUUAGGGAUGGCAAUGGGCACCGCCCGCAGCGGGUUUGCCAUUACCAAACCCAAACCCGCACAAAAUUUAAAUUACCAAACCCACCCGCAACCCGCAGCGGGUUUUAACAAUUAUCAAAUCCGCAAUGGUACCCGGCGGAUUUUUUGCGGGUUUCCGUAUUUAAAAUAAAAAAUGUUUAAUAUAUAAAUUUAUAAUAAUAACCUCAAAUUCCAUAUAACAUACUCAAUUUUAUAUUUAAACAAUGUAAAUAAAAAAUUAAAAUUUCAACAUCAAUGCAACACAAAUUCUCAAAUUUAAGUAUAAAUUACACAAUUCCAUUUAAAAAACACAAACUAGUAUCUAAAAAUAAUAAUUACAUUUCAUAUUAUCAUUUAAAACAAGCUCCGAGAGAAGAUAUUCAUUUCAUUCACCACCAUAAGCACCCAUCCAACACAAUGCCUAUAAUAAUAAUUAAGAUUAAUAUUUUUAAAUACUAAUUCGAAGGGAAAUGCUUUUAGUUUUCUUUAGGUUAUGACUUUAGAAUGGGAGAUGGGCCACAUACACAACUUUGAACCUUUGGCUAUUUGGUAAUUUGAAUAAUGACAUUAUUUUCUUUAUACAUUUUUAGAUUAAAAUUAAAUUAAAAAUAUUUGGAAAAAAUAUUAUGGGUUUGGUGGAUAUCCAUGCGGGUAUCCACUGGAUAUAAGGUUAAUACCAAACCCGCCCGUAACGGGUAAAAUUACCCGCAGCGGGCGGGUUUUGACGGGUGGGUUUGGGCGGGUUUGCGGGUACAAUUGCCAUCCCUAAGUGUGGUGGAUUCCAUAGGCCAAAUGACAACGUGCAAAUGAAGCACGUUGUUAAAUGUAGAGAUGGCAAUUUGACCCAAUCCAAAUUUCGGCCCGAUUGACCCUACCUAAAUUUUUUGAGAUUUGACCCGAAUUUCAAGGUCUCAAGUCGAGUUCGGGCCAAAAAAUUAGGGCCUAAUUAAAUUCGGGUCAAAACUCGGGUAGAAUAGGGACCGACUUAACCCGACCCGACCCGACCUAUAAAAAAAAAAAGUGGCUAGCACAUGCACAUCAUAGUUCACACGCACACAUCACAUUCUCAACUUGCACGAGCACAUCACAUAUUCACUUUCUCAAUUCUCAAAUCUCAAUCGCAACUCACAAAACCCAUCAACCAAACUUACAAUUUACAAACCUUAAGUCAAAAUCCAGCCACCACCAGCGUGAAUCUGUUGUAGCUCGUCAACGUAUCGCGUCUUCUCCAAGGCCCAAGUUGCCCCGCACACGACGUGACUGCACAAGCCCAGCGCCAGGCACCAACCAACCAUUUGUGCAAAAGACAUCUCUAUUAUCCUCUGCAGCACCACCGCCAACCAACCACCACAAAAUUGAUAGCCAGACAGCCAUGCUCUAGGGGGGAGAAAGGGGAUCGAGCCGCUACCACCAUUAACUUGGUAAUUUAUAAAUAAUAAAUAAGUUUUUCAUUUAAGCUUAUUGAUUGUUUU
This 2433-nucleotide long non-coding RNA is filed under the name Citrus maxima (pomelo). RNAcentral describes it as "long non-coding RNA (CMAX_LNC002178)". Lineage: Eukaryota; Viridiplantae; Streptophyta; Magnoliopsida; Sapindales; Rutaceae. The record is from RNAcentral.